This is a long non-coding RNA of Oncorhynchus keta (chum salmon), 1521 nucleotides long. RefSeq lists it as uncharacterized. The record is from RefSeq and is a predicted model, not a curated record. NCBI's taxonomy places the organism in Eukaryota, Metazoa, Chordata, Actinopteri, Salmoniformes, Salmonidae. The transcript is spliced from 7 exons.
UCUGCUGGGCCUCAGACUCAGAAACAGCCGUGUCACCACCCUGCUGUGUAUCGGCUCCCGCUUCCAUGGUCAUUUAGUUGGCUGGAAUGGCGGGUGGAGAACUCUGGAGAGCCUGUGAAUGUACGUUUUUACACAAAAUGUUAAAUAUUGGUAUGGGGGUGGAUUUAAUUCAGGGCUCUCCAACCCUGUUUCUGGAGAGAUAAAGUUCACGCCAAUCCUGUUCCUGGAGAUACCAUCCUGUAGGGUUUCGCUCCAACCCCAGUUGUAACUAACCUGAUUCAGCUUAUCAACCAGCUAACUAUUAGAAUCAGGUGCAUUGGAUUACAGUUGGAGCUAAAAACCUACAGGAUGGUAGCACUCCAGGAAGGUUGGUGUGAAACCCUUCAGGAUGGUAGCUCCCCAGGAAGAAGGUUGGUGUGAAACCCUACAGGAUGGUAGCUCUCCAGGAAGAAGGUUGGUGUGAAACCCUACAGGAUGGUAGCUCCCCAGGAAGAAGGUUGGUGUGAAACCCUACAGGAUGGUAGCUCUCCAGGAAGAAGGUUGGUGUGAAACCCUACAGGAUGGUAGCUCUCCAGGAAGAAGGUUGGUGUGAAACCCUACAGGAUGGUAGCUCUCCAGGAAGAAGGUUGGUGUGAAACCCUACAGGAUGGUAGCUCCCCAGGAAGAAGGUUGGUGUGAAACCCUACAGGAUGGUAGCUCCCCAGGAACAGGGUUGGUGUGAAACCCUACAGGAUGGUAGCUCUCCAGGAAGAAGGUUGGUGUGAAACCCUACAGGAUGGUAGCUCCCCAGGAAGAAGGUUGGUGUGAAACCCUACAGGAUGGUAGCUCUCCAGGAAGAAGGUUGGUGUGAAACCCUACAGGAUGGUAGCUCUCCAGGAAGAAGGUUGGUGUGAAACCCUACAGGAUGGUAGCUCUCCAGGAAGAAGGUUGGUGUGAAACCCUACAGGAUGGUAGCUCUCCAGGAAGAAGGUUGGUGUGAAACCCUACAGGAUGGUAGCUCUCCAGGAAGAAGGUUGGUGUGAAACCCUACAGGAUGGUAGCUCUCCAGGAAGAAGGUUGGUGUGAAACCCUACAGGAUGGUAGCUCUCCAGGAAGAAGGUUGGUGUGAAACCCUACAGGAUGGUAGCUCUCCAGGAAGAAGGUUGGUGUGAAACCCUACAGGAUGGUAGCUCUCCAGGAAGAAGGUUGGUGUGAAACCCUACAGGAUGGUAGCUCUCCAGGAAGAAGGUUGGUGUGAAACCCUACAGGAUGGUAGCUCUCCAGGAAGAAGGUUGGUGUGAAACCCUACAGGAUGGUAGCUCUCCAGGAAGAAGGUUGGUGUGAAACCCUACAGGAUGGUAGCUCUCCAGGAAGAAGGUUGGUGUGAAACCCUACAGGAUGGUAGCUCUCCAGGAACAGGGUUGGUGUGAAACCCUACAGGAUGGUAGCUCUCCAGGAACAGAGAUGGUGUGAAACCCUACAGGAUGGUAGCUCUCCAGGAACAGAGAUGGUGUGAAACCCUACAGGAUGGUAGCUCCCCAG